ACGCUCGACACCUACGGGAGGUAGCAGUGGGGAAUAUUGCACAAUGGGGGAAACCCUGAUGCAGCGACGCCGCGUGAGGANGAUNUUGUNUGUAACUUCUAUCGAAGCAGGGAAGAAACGUAGACGGUACCUGACUAAGAAGCCCCGGCUAACUACGUGUCCAGACAGCCGCGGUAAGUCGUGGAGGCCGGGCGUGGCAAGGC
RNAcentral lists this ribosomal RNA (203 nucleotides) under uncultured bacterium. Its description in RNAcentral is "partial 16S ribosomal RNA". It matches the Rfam family "Bacterial small subunit ribosomal RNA", at positions 328 to 544 of the family's 1533-position model. The record is from RNAcentral.